GUGCUCGUUCCGGCAGCACAUACACCAAAACUGGAACGAUACAGAGAAGAUUCGCAUAGCCCCCAGGGAAAGACAUGUGAGUAACCAGACCAGGUCAGUUCUUAA
This is a small nuclear RNA of Ursus americanus (American black bear), 105 nucleotides long. Lineage: Eukaryota; Metazoa; Chordata; Mammalia; Carnivora; Ursidae. The record is from Ensembl.